GCGGAAACAAAUCGAAGACGAAUCGGGCCUCGGUUGAGCCAGCCAGCCGGCCCCCACCCCACAGUCAAGCGAAUUACUCUUCCUGUCCCGUCUCCCGAGUCCCGACCCAACGCGCCGCCACGGCCACCGCCAAGCAAACCCGAACAGAAAACCCUAGAUCUGUCCGGACUUCCGCCGCCGCCUAGCAACCCCGAACCGAAAACCGUAGAUCCGUCCGAACCCUCGCGUGGCGAUGGCGUCCACGGCGGAGUUGCUCCUCCGUGCAUCAGGGGCAACGCUGUGGCUCCCUCUUCCAUCUCACUCCGCCCCCUACCCCAGCUCUUGUUCUGAGGACCUAGGCGAUCUCCUUGAUCAGCUGGAGGAAAUUGAACUCGACCACCAUAGCAAGCCGCCGCGCAUGGUCACCGAGUCACCUCCCUGUGAGAUUUCCUGGCGUGCCCUGGACCUCAAGUUCCCGUUGGAGGACAUGAAAAAGGCUGGAGCGACUGGAGCGAGGACGAUGGCCAAGUGAUUGACGGGGAGGAGACAGAUUGCCCAGUAAUUGUUCAGAGAAUAAACUAGUCAAUGGUGAUGAUGAUGACGACAACGGCUAGGUGAUAGACGGGGACACGAAGACGAACCGGGACAGGAAGAUAAACUGCCCAGGAAAGGACUACACCAAGAGCGAGGCAGUGGAUAUAGAGAUUGAAUACAUGGACAGGUACUGCGAGCGGAUGGGAGUCUACUUGGCAAUGCGUGACGCGAUUAUUGCCCCGGAAGACUAUGACACUCCUUUCCCUCCUUUUCCUCUUAAAGUGCUCCCUCCGGCAACAUCUGCAUGCUUCGUGGAUGGAUGCUGCUACCACAGUGUUUACAAGACCCAUGAUACUUCUACCACUCAUCUACUCUUGGAUAUCGCAGACCACAACGUAUGCUACAGUUCUUCUCUCUGUGUUUGUCAAGCUCUGGAGCCCUCAUAUCCCACUAGUGUAUAUGGAAUAUUUGCCGUUCGGGAUGACUUGGACAAGCGACGGAAUUAUGUCUUUAACUGUCCUAGAUAUGCUGCUGUUGGGAUUGGGAAGCAGGUGUUUCAGCUAGCAGGGGGUUUGUGCUCAAACUGUGGCAUGAGAACAUCAAGGGGUACUGGGUAUCAACCUUGCAAGUGUAUUUGGUGCUAAGAGUAUGUGAUGUCCUAUAUGAAGUGCGGCUAGUUGUAGUUUUUUGUGUUUUUCGUAGGGGUUAUUCUACGAUUUCAACAUUGUUACCGGACAGCUGGGAGUUGUUUCAGAGAUUUAGGCCUAGGUUAUAUCACUCUUUUGAAUGUUGCAGCAGGUUCAGAAUUUCAGAUGGAAGUUGGGCAGUUGAAUGUAAACUCGCCUCUGCAUGCCUCAUCAAUUUAGAUUUCUGGGUGCUCUCCAAUUCCUGAAUCUUCACCUCCUUCCUUUGAUAUCUGAACCCACCAUAACAUGUGCCUAGAAUUUUAUUUGAUAAUGGGUUUGAUGUGCCUUUUUUUUAUGCUUAUUUCCUAGUUGUUUUUUGUUCCUAGGUGAGAAUCUUUAGCUGGAAGUGCCAAUUUGUUUGCUUAUAUAUGUUAGGUUCGCUUUUGUAUCCAAUGUUUCACAUAUAGGGUGUUUAUUAAAGGAGUUGCUUACAAUACGGCCAAAGGUGUUCAUCGAGUGCUUGCUUGUAUUUCGCAAGUUCGAUUUUUUGCCUCUGCGGGUAAUUCUAACCACUUUGCAUAUAAUGCAUGUAGUUCUAUAAUUCCUCACCUAAUCAUCUUGUGAACAAUCAGUGUUCUAUAGAUUACAAAUAUUGUGAAUACACUGCUCUCUCCCACUUGCAAAAUUUUGUGGUGUUGACUGUAUUGUGGGUUAUGCAAUGUGCUCCAAUUUUCAGGCCCUUUUCUUGCAAUUUCCCAAUUGCACUGCCGCUUUAAUUUAAUUGCACUGCCGUUUUAAUUUAACUGCACUACUAACUUUUACAAUUCUAAUUGUACCUAAUUAGAAUUUACAUUUUUUGGGUCAGGUUUUUGAAUCUUAAUGUGUGACGAAAUUUUUGCACUACAAGAUAUGAUUAAAUCUGAACAGUUUUAGGUGUUUUGACCUUAUAAAAGUUUUGGGAAUCUGAAUUUUGAUCAACUUAGAACAAACUCUCUAAAUUUCUGUUUAGGGAUAAUGCUUUGGUAGAUACAUUAGCUGUUUUUUGUUCCAGAGCUUAAAGUUUUCAUUUCCUUAGUUGUUUGUUCUAUCCAGAAACUGGACCCACUAGCUGAAACUUAGAACACGGCCAUUUCUUUUGUUUGUGACCGUAAUUUUCUGCGGCUACUAAAAGUUGUAACACAAAAUGCCUCCAUUUUUAAUUUUUAAUUUUUGUCCUCAGUUAGCCCCUAGUCUCCAUUUUGAAUUUUGAAUUUGGACAUCAAUUGUUUGUGACCCUAUUGCAGUUCAACCCAUACUUUUUUAGCUAGUACUACUUUGGAUUCUAGCCUUUCCUAAGCACUAUCUAGGUCCUGUAAGAGUUCAUUAUGGUUAUUGUUUUUCUGUUUUAUCCAAAGUGGUUUAUCUUGUUCACUUCUUUUGAAUUGCGCUGCUGUUUAUAUAAAUAUGCACCCAUUGUAGUACUGCAAUCCUAUGGGUUCUGACUUUGCAAUUGUAAUUUAACCUGUACUUUUAGGCUAGCUAGUACUGCUUUGAAUUUUGGUCUUUUCUAAGCACUGUCUAGGUUCUAUAACAGUUAAUUAUGCUUACGGUUAUAUUUAUCAUUUUCCUAUAGCACAGGCAACUUAUAUUUUUUUAGAAAAGCAACCGGUAUGACGCCGUUGGAUCCGUGUGCCAAAAUUCGUGUUGAUUUUUGGUGGCCGGCUUUUUUCUUUUUUCUCCGGCCGCAUGUUUUUGAAAUCUGCGCUGCUUGUCUUUGUGCUGAGGUGUUCUCCUCAAGUUUUCUGGAAAGGGUGAGGCGGAGAGGCGAUUCUGAGACCCCCCUCGCCGGCAGCGAGUCGCGCGGGCCGCACUCCGUCUGGAUUCCUUUGCGUUACCUCUCUGUAGCCCUUGUCGAGGAAUGUAUGUACUGGAUCGGAUAUAGUUGAUCUCUGGUUAAAAAAAGAAGGGGAUGGAUCAGCUGACAAGCAUAUACUUUCUACCUAUGCUGAGAUUGAAGUACGUGCACAGGUUGAUGACAUGUUGGUUGGACGUAUCCCUGGUGAUGAUUGCAACUUGGACUUGGGAUUCAAGGUCCUUGCACAAUGUGUUGAGGCUGUAAUCGAAGUCUACGCAAAGGUUGACCAUCCUCAUCAUGUGAGGUUCACUGCUUUAAGGUGAUGAUGAGAUUGUGCUGUUCGAUGACGAAUUAUUUGGGAACGAGAAACAACUCCUACAUAUUAUCGCGGUGAAGAAAAAUGCAAAUUUGGAUGUUCUUCUAAGGGUGGAUGAAUCACAGUUUCAGUGGACUUUUCAGGAUGAAUCUGUUGGAGCCAUUGCCUCUCCCAACGACUCGAUCCUUGAGUAUGGCCAGUUUUUUGUGAGGGUGUCUUUUGCUCCAAAGAACUCCAAAUGAAGCCCAUGUUGAUGUUCUGACAAGCGAAGUCUGCCAUGUGUGAUGAAACAUAUAUUAUGCUUAGUAGCAUUUGAGUUUGUGUGCCCUGUGUGAGUAAUCUAGUAUGUUAAACCGCUGUAAACUUGAACAUGCUCUAUGCGACCAUAUCCUCCAUUCCUCUUCUUGCUUGCUUGGUCUAUGGAAUUUGGGAUGUUGUCGUUAAAUUAUCUUUGGUUUAAAAGUUAUUGUGCCUAA
Long non-coding RNA from Brachypodium distachyon (stiff brome), 3765 nucleotides. RefSeq lists it as uncharacterized. The record is from RefSeq and is a predicted model, not a curated record. The transcript is spliced from 7 exons. Lineage: Eukaryota; Viridiplantae; Streptophyta; Magnoliopsida; Poales; Poaceae.